This 253-nucleotide ribosomal RNA is filed under the name uncultured bacterium. RNAcentral describes it as "partial 16S ribosomal RNA". It matches the Rfam family "Bacterial small subunit ribosomal RNA", at positions 524 to 776 of the family's 1533-position model. The record is from RNAcentral.
UACGUAGGAGGCGAGCGUUGUCCGGAGUUACUGGGCGUAAAGGGUGCGUAGGCGGCUGCGCGCGUGGAGGGUGAAAUCUCUCGGCUUACCCGGGAGGGGGCUUUCCAGACGGCGUGGCUUGAGGGACGGAGAGGGGCGUGGAAUUCCGGGUGGAGCGGUGAAAUGCGUAGAGAUCGAGAGGAACACCUGAGGUGAAGACGGGUUGCUGGGCCGACACUGACGCUGAUGCGCGAAAGCCAGGGGAGCAAACGGG